RNAcentral lists this transfer RNA (71 nucleotides) under Bos taurus (domestic cattle). It matches the Rfam family "tRNA". From Rfam's summary of the family: Transfer RNA (tRNA) molecules are approximately 80 nucleotides in length. The record is from Rfam by way of RNAcentral. Lineage: Eukaryota; Metazoa; Chordata; Mammalia; Artiodactyla; Bovidae. RNAcentral also lists the same sequence under 3 other names.
UCCCCGUUGACUCAGUGGGAAAGAAUCUGCCUGCAAUGCAGGAGACUCAGGUUUGAUCCCUGGGCUGGGAA